UACGGAGGAUCCAAGCGUUAUCCGGAUUUAUUGGGUUUAAAGGGAGCGUAGGCGGCCUAUUAAGUCAGGGGUGAAAGACGGUGGCUCAACCAUCGCAGUGCCUUUGAUACUGGUAGGCUUGAAUGUAGUUGAGGUAGGCGGAAUGUGACAAGUAGCGGUGAAAUGCAUAGAUAUGUCACAGAACGCCGAUUGCGAAGGCAGCUUACUAAGCUAUGAUUGACGCUGAGGCUCGAAAGCGUGGGGAUCAAACAGG
RNAcentral lists this ribosomal RNA (253 nucleotides) under uncultured bacterium. Its description in RNAcentral is "partial 16S ribosomal RNA". It matches the Rfam family "Bacterial small subunit ribosomal RNA", at positions 524 to 776 of the family's 1533-position model. The record is from RNAcentral.